CUACGGGUGGCUGCAGUGGGGAAUAUUGGACAAUGGGCGAAAGCCUGAUCCAGCCAUGCCGCGUGUGUGAAGAAGGCCUUCGGGUUGUAAAGCACUUUCAGUGGGGAAGAAAGCCUUGGGGCUAAUACCCUCGAGGAAGGACAUCACCCACAGAAGAAGCACCGGCUAACUCCGUGCCAGCAGCCGCGGUAAUACGGAGGGUGCGAGCGUUAAUCGGAAUUACUGGGCGUAAAGCGCGCGUAGGCGGUCUGAUAAGCCGGUUGUGAAAGCCCCGGGCUCAACCUGGGAACGGCAUCCGGAACUGUCAGGCUAGAGUGCAGGAGAGGAAGGUAGAAUUCCCGGUGUAGCGGUGAAAUGCGUAGAGAUCGGGAGGAAUACCAGUGGCGAAGGCGGCCUUCUGGACUGACACUGACGCUGAGGUGCGAAAGCGUGGGUAGCAAACAGGAUUAGAUACCCUGGUAGUC
This 464-nucleotide ribosomal RNA is filed under the name Vreelandella stevensii. RNAcentral's name for it is "partial 16S ribosomal RNA". It matches the Rfam family "Bacterial small subunit ribosomal RNA", at positions 339 to 795 of the family's 1533-position model. The record is from RNAcentral. Lineage: Bacteria; Pseudomonadati; Pseudomonadota; Gammaproteobacteria; Oceanospirillales; Halomonadaceae.